This 301-nucleotide ribosomal RNA is filed under the name uncultured bacterium. RNAcentral describes it as "partial 16S ribosomal RNA". It matches the Rfam family "Bacterial small subunit ribosomal RNA", at positions 509 to 809 of the family's 1533-position model. The record is from RNAcentral.
CAGCAGCCGCGGGAAUACGAAGGGUGCAAGCGUUAAUCGGAAUUACUGGGCGUAAAGCGUGCGUAGGCGGUGAGUUAAGUCUGCUGUGAAAUCCCCGGGCUCAACCUGGGAAUGGCAGUGGAUACUGGCUCGCUAGAGUGUGUCAGAGGAUGGUGGAAUUCCCGGUGUAGCGGUGAAAUGCGUAGAGAUCGGGAGGAACAUCAGUGGCGAAGGCGGCCAUCUGGGACAACACUGACGCUGAGGCACGAAAGCGUGGGGAGCAAACAGGAUUAGAUACCCGCGUAGUCCCUGUCUCUUAUAA